Molecule: ribosomal RNA, 264 nt
Filed under: Diversispora epigaea
Lineage: Eukaryota; Fungi; Glomeromycota; Glomeromycetes; Diversisporales; Diversisporaceae
Source: RNAcentral
CAGUCGUGCGCUGUGCAAUUCAGCUCUGGUUCUCCAGAGUGUAUUUUGUACUAUUGCAGGCCAACAUCGGUUUUGCGAGUCGGAUAAAGGUUUGAGGAAUGUGGCAGCUUGCUGCGUUAUAGCCUCUUGUUGUACACGGUGCCUGGGAUUGAGGACUGCAGCACGCCUUUGGUAGGGGUUCGCCCACUCCCACGUGCUUAGGAUGCUGGCGUAAUGGCUUUAAACGACCCGUCUUGAAACACGGACCAAGGAGUCUAGCAUAUA